This 239-nucleotide ribosomal RNA is filed under the name uncultured bacterium. Its description in RNAcentral is "partial 16S ribosomal RNA". It matches the Rfam family "Bacterial small subunit ribosomal RNA", at positions 796 to 1041 of the family's 1533-position model. The record is from RNAcentral.
CACGCCGUAAACGAUGAAUGCUAGGUGUUGGGGAAACUCAGUGCCGCAGUUAACACAAUAAGCAUUCCGCCUGGGGAGUACGACCGCAAGGUUGAAACUCAAAGGAAUUGACGGGGACCCGCACAAGCAGCGGAGCAUGUGGUUUAAUUCGAAGCAACGCGAAGAACCUUACCAGGUCUUGACAUCCUCUGACGAGCCUAGAGAUAGGAAGUUUCCUUCGGGAACAGAGAGACAGGUGG